CCUACGGGGGGCAGCAGUGAGGAAUAUUGGUCAAUGGGCGAGAGCCUGAACCAGCCAAGUCGCGUGAGGGAAGACGGUCCUAUGGAUUGUAAACCUCUUUUGUCGGGGAGCAAAAAGGCCUCGUGAGGCCACAAGUGAGAGUACCCGAAGAAAAAGCAUCGGCUAACUCCGUGCCAGCAGCCGCGGUAAUACGGAGGAUGCGAGCGUUAUCCGGAUUUAUUGGGUUUAAAGGGUGCGUAGGCGGAAUUCCAAGUCAGCGGUAAAAUCGCGGGGCUCACCCUCGCUCCGCGGUUGAAACUGGCGUU
This 305-nucleotide ribosomal RNA is filed under the name uncultured bacterium. RNAcentral's name for it is "bacterial SSU rRNA". It matches the Rfam family "Bacterial small subunit ribosomal RNA", at positions 338 to 640 of the family's 1533-position model. The record is from RNAcentral.